CGGCUGUUGACGGGUGCUGUUGUAGUGGUGCCGAGGCCGAUCGAGACUACCAGUCGACCGAAAAGAGAAAAAGGAUCUCCACCUCCAACAUGUUAACAUGGUUUCGGAACCUAAACCGCAUCAAAUCACCAGGAAACGACAGAGUUCCGCCUCCAGCGCCUGCUCCGGACAGAGCGCCUCUCCGACCAAAAGAAUACGAAACGAGAAAACAGCCAAGAAGAAAGGCAAAUUGGUUUCGACCGCUUACAGAACGCCGACCGUACCCGUCUGCACCCGAUGCCAAAGCCAAUACGCCAGUUGGUGGGAGCUGGUUCGUCACGCCGAAACCGAACAUCGGACCGUUCUGUACAGGAAGACCGAAGCCGAUAACGACGAUAAC
Molecule: long non-coding RNA, 379 nt
Filed under: Androctonus crassicauda
Lineage: Eukaryota; Metazoa; Arthropoda; Arachnida; Scorpiones; Buthidae
Source: RNAcentral